CAGCCGCCGCGGUAACACGUAGGUGGCAAGCGUUGUCCGGAAUUAUUGGGCGUAAAGGGCUCGCAGGCGGUUUCUUAAGUCUGAUGUGAAAGCCCCCGGCUCAACCGGGGAGGGUCAUUGGAAACUGGGAAACUUGAGUGCAGAAGAGGAGAGUGGAAUUCCACGUGUAGCGGUGAAAUGCGUAGAGAUGUGGAGGAACACCAGUAGCGAAGGCGACUCUCUGGUCUGUAACUGACGCUGAGGAGCGAAAGCGUGGGGAGCGAACAGGAUUAGAUACCCCUGUAGUCCCUGUCUCUUAUAC
Molecule: ribosomal RNA, 301 nt
Filed under: uncultured bacterium
Lineage: Bacteria
Description: partial 16S ribosomal RNA
Rfam family: Bacterial small subunit ribosomal RNA
Source: RNAcentral